This 480-nucleotide ribosomal RNA is filed under the name uncultured bacterium. RNAcentral describes it as "partial 16S ribosomal RNA". It matches the Rfam family "Bacterial small subunit ribosomal RNA", at positions 28 to 507 of the family's 1533-position model. The record is from RNAcentral.
GAUGAACGCUAGCGGCAGGCCUAACACAUGCCAGUCGAGGGGGAAGUUACUUUCGGGUGACUGAGACCGGCGUACGGGUGCGUAACGCGUAUACAAUCUGCCUUUCACUGGGGGAUAGCCCGAAGAAAUUUGGAUUAAUACCCCAUAGUAUAUAGGGACGGCAUCGUUUUUAUAUUAAAGCUUAGGUGGUGAAAGAUGAGUAUGCGUUCUAUUAGCUAGUUGGAGAGGUAACGGCUCCCCAAGGCGAUGAUAGAUAGGGGUUCUGAGAGGGAUGUCCCCCACACUGGUACUGAGAUACGGACCAGACUCCUACGGGAGGCAGCAGUGAGGAAUAUUGGACAAUGGUCGGAAGACUGAUCCAGCCAUGCCGCGUGCAGGAGGAAGGUCUUAUGGAUUGUAAACUGCUUUUGUAAGGGAAGAAUAAGGGCUACGCGUAGUUUGAUGACGGUACCUUACGAAUAAGCAUCGACUAACUCCGUG